This 446-nucleotide ribosomal RNA is filed under the name uncultured bacterium. Its description in RNAcentral is "partial 16S ribosomal RNA". It matches the Rfam family "Bacterial small subunit ribosomal RNA", at positions 28 to 507 of the family's 1533-position model. The record is from RNAcentral.
GAUGAACGCUGGCGGCGUGCUUAACACAUGCAAGUCGAACGAUGAAGCCCAGCUUGCUGGGUGGGUUAGUGGCGGACGGGUGAGUAACACGUGGGAACGUGCCUUUAGGUUCGGAAUAACUCAGGGAAACUUGUGCUAAUACCGAAUGUGCCCUUCGGGGGAAAGAUUAAUCGCCUUUAGAGCGGCCCGCGUCUGAUUAGCUAGUUGGUUGAGGUAAUGGCUCACCAAGGCGACGAUCAGUAGCUGGUCUGAGAGGAUGAUCAGCCACAUUGGGACUGAGACACGGCCCAAACUCCUACGGGAGGCAGCAGUGGGGAAUCUUGCGCAAUGGGCGAAAGCCUGACGCAGCCAUGCCGCGUGAAUGAUGAAGGUCUUAGGAUUGUAAAAUUCUUUCACCGGGGACGAUAAUGACGGUACCCGGAGAAGAAGCCCCGGCUAACUUCGUG